CGGGGCAUGGCGCAGGGGUAGCGCGCGCGGUUCGGGACCGCGAGGCCGCUGGUUCAAAUCCAGCUGCCCCGA
RNAcentral lists this transfer RNA (72 nucleotides) under Candidatus Shapirobacteria bacterium CG03_land_8_20_14_0_80_39_12. RNAcentral describes it as "tRNA-Pro". It matches the Rfam family "tRNA". From Rfam's summary of the family: Transfer RNA (tRNA) molecules are approximately 80 nucleotides in length. Their secondary structure includes four short double-helical elements and three loops (D, anti-codon, and T loops). Lineage: Bacteria; Candidatus Shapironibacteriota. The record is from RNAcentral.